Molecule: ribosomal RNA, 869 nt
Filed under: uncultured archaeon
Lineage: Archaea
Description: bacterial SSU rRNA
Rfam family: Archaeal small subunit ribosomal RNA
Source: RNAcentral
CUCCCGGUGAUCCCGCCGGACCUGACUGCUAUCGGAUUGGUACUAAGCCAUGCGAGUCAUUGUAGCAAUACAAGGCGGACGGCUCAGUAACACGUAGUCAACCUAACUCGUGGACGUGGAUAACCUCGGGAAACUGAGAAUAAACCACGAUAGACCAUAGUGCCUGGAAUGGCUUAUGGUCCAAACAGUUUACUGCCAUGGGAUGGGACUGCGGCCUAUCAGCUUGUUGGUGAGGUAAUGGCCCACCAAGGCGAUUACAGGUACGGGCUCUGAGAGGAGAAGCCCGGAGAUGGGUACUGAGACACGGACCCAGGCCCUAUGGGGCGCAGCAGGCGAGAAACCUUAGCAAUGUGCGAAAGCACGACUGGGUCAGUCCGAGUGAUUCCUGAUAAAGGAGUCUUUUGCUUGUCCUAAAAGCACAGGUGAAUAAGGGGUGGGCAAGUCUGGUGUCAGCCGCCGCGGUAAUACCAGCACCUCGAGUGGUCAGGACGUUUAUUGGGCCUAAAGCAUCCGUAGCCGGCUUUGCAAGUCUUCGGUUAAAUCCACCUGCUCAACAGAUGGGCUGCUGGAGAUACUACAAAGCUAGGGAGUGGGAGAGGCAGACGGUAUUCAGUGGGUAGGGGUAAAAUCCUCUGAUCCAUUGAGGACCACCAGUGGCGAAGGCGGUCUGCCAGAACACGUUCGACGGUGAGGGAUGAAAGCUGGGGGAGCAAACCGGAUUAGAUACCCGGGUAGUCCCAGCUGUAAACGAUGCAAACUCGGUGAUGCAUUGGCUUAUGGCCAAUGCAGUGCCGCAGGGAAGCCGUUAAGUUUGCCGCCUGGGAAGUACGGACGCAAGUCUGAAACUUAAAGGAAUUGGCGGGGGAGCA